CUCAUUCGGAUUGGAGUCUGCAACCCGACUCCAUGAAGCUGGAUUCGCUAGUAAUCGCGCAUCAGCCACGGCGCGGUGAAUACGUUCCCGGGCCUUGUACACACCGCCCGUCAAGCCAUGGAAGCCGGGGGUGCCUGAAGUGCGCUGCCGCAAGGAGCGUCCUAGGGUAAAACCGGUGACUGGGGCUAAGUCGUAACAAGGUAUC
RNAcentral lists this ribosomal RNA (205 nucleotides) under uncultured bacterium. RNAcentral's name for it is "partial 16S ribosomal RNA". It matches the Rfam family "Bacterial small subunit ribosomal RNA", at positions 1288 to 1500 of the family's 1533-position model. The record is from RNAcentral.